GCUUGGUUGCCACUUCCCCACCGCCCUUCCCCACUUGGCCGUCAGAGGGCGCCAGUGAGCCUCAUCAGCUCAUAGUCCUCCAAGGCUCAGAAGCUGGCUGUGGUCCCCUCUUAGAGGGAGAGCCAAGUCACCCCCAGGAGCACAAGGUCCUAUAGGAUUAGGCUUCCUUUGUUCCCUCCUGACCUUACUUCGGUCUUCUGCCACUUACUUCCUGAGUUCCAACCCCACUGGUCACCUUGCUGUUGGCUGUUCCUUGAGUCUUAGAUGCUCUUGGCCCAGAGAUCCCUGAUGUUUCCUGCUAUAUUUCAUGCAUGACUCUGCUUAUAUGUAACCUCCCUUGCCACCUGAUCCUGAGACAUGUCAUGUGCAGUUGAACAGGCUGUUCAUUGUACAAGUCACUGUGAAUGGAUGAGAGGGGGCUAGAAUCCAGCUCACCUCCAAAAUCCAGGAGGCUGCAGGAGAAAGGGGCACCAUUUUCUAGUUUACACAAAGGGGACUAGCGCCUCCCUUGAGAAUGUCUGUUGUUGUAGGCCACCCAGUUUGUGGCAUUUUGUUACAGAAGUCCAAGGAGACCAACACACUUCGAUUUGACUCAUCACUGUUUGGUAGCCAAUCCUCAAGAUGUGCGUCAGCCAUAUUGGUGAAUCUGUCUACUCACUGAAAAAAGAAACUU
RNAcentral lists this long non-coding RNA (673 nucleotides) under Marmota monax (woodchuck). Lineage: Eukaryota; Metazoa; Chordata; Mammalia; Rodentia; Sciuridae. The record is from RNAcentral.